AGAAAACCCAGGUUCAGGCAGGAAGUGCUGCAUACAAGGAAAAUGAGAUUUCUCAGCACUUGGAAUAGCUUUACAUUGGGAUCCCAGAAAUUCUCACAAGAUCUUACAGCUGAUCAAUGUGAAAACUUAAAAACCUAAAUUAUUAACAAAUCAAUAUUCAAAAACAAUUAUACUGAAUAUGCCCACUAAUUGCUACCCCACUUUUCUUCCUACUUGACUCCAUUGCCCUCAACCUUUCUGGGACAACCAUCUUAACAUUUGACAACAUCAUUUUUCCAAGUGAAAAACUUUUAUCUCAAAUAAUGGAGAUACAAGCCAAACUCACAAGCACAUUUCAGUUGAAAUUCAGUAAGUAAGAUAUAUGGAAGAUAAUGUGAUGAAUAAACUUAAUCAUAUGUGAUCUCUAUGGCACAAAAUACUAACCUCGG
This 428-nucleotide unclassified non-coding RNA is filed under the name Hevea brasiliensis (rubber tree). Lineage: Eukaryota; Viridiplantae; Streptophyta; Magnoliopsida; Malpighiales; Euphorbiaceae. The record is from RNAcentral.